GUAGGAGGGGUUUUCCUCCUAGGUAAUGAGAGGAUAUGUGUGGUUCAGCAAUGGGGGUUGAUUUUGGAUCAGCUAUUGCUGGAGUUACAGAUCUUAUUGCACCUCAGUAAUCCAUGCUACUGUGACUUCUUGAUUGGAAUACUGAAAUGUGAUCCACAUGAGGCUAUACUUGAAGACUACUUGGAAGCUUUAUUUUCUGCUCACCUCUUUGGCAUUGACUUUGUCCUAAAUGUCUGUGGAGGAGAGGCAAUUGUCCUGAUAGUCUAUGAGACACCACACAGCAGCUGAUUUUAGCAGGCAUGCUCAUUACAUAGGCCCUGAUCCUGCAUCAUUCUUGUCAGUAGGAGCUUUUCCAUGGAUUUCAAUAAAUCUACUAUCAAGCUCGUAGUUUCUAGAUUCAAACAUCUGGCAACUGAUCCCCAUGGACUUUUAGUAGAGAGCCUUCAACUCUGGAAUUCGUUUCCCCUCCUUGCUCUGAGAGUGACUAAAUUUGUUAAUAUUCAUCUCUUUCCUGAGUCUCUGGCCUGGUGGAUUAAAGUGUGGCCUGUUCUUUUUCUUCUGGGGCAAAUAGAUGUGCAUUAGUGAGUAACGGACACGUGUGGAGAGAUGUUACUGUACUCAUUUUAGAAAUCUAAUAACUAUGUUAAGAACAGGAGUAUUAAGAGUUGUAUGGAAUUACAAUUAAAAAGGAAGGCUUGUGAAAUUCCAAACAGAAA
Long non-coding RNA from Mauremys reevesii (Reeves's turtle), 716 nucleotides. RefSeq lists it as uncharacterized. Lineage: Eukaryota; Metazoa; Chordata; Testudines; Geoemydidae. The record is from RefSeq and is a predicted model, not a curated record. The transcript is spliced from 3 exons.